CCAGACUCCUACGGGAGGCAGCAGUGGGGAAUAUUGGACAAUGGGGGGAACCCUGAUCCAGCGACGCCGCGUGAGUGAAGAAGUAUUUCGGUAUGUAAAGCUCUAUCAGCAGGGAAGAAAGAAAUGACGGUACCUGACUAAGAAGCCCCGGCUAACUACGUGCCAGCAGCCGCGGUAAUACGUAGGGGGCAAGCGUUAUCCGGAUUUACUGGGUGUAAAGGGAGCGUAGACGGCGAUGCAAGUCUGAAGUGAAAGGCGGGGGCCCAACCCCCGGACUGCUCUGGAAACUGCGGCGCUGGAGUACGGGAGGGGCAGGCGGAAUUCCUGGUGUAGCGGUGAAAUGCGUAGAUAUCAGGAGGAACACCGGCGGCGAAGGCGGCCUGCUGGACCGUGACUGACGUUGAGGCUCGAGAGCGUGGGGAGCAAACAGGAUUAGAUACCCGCGUA
Molecule: ribosomal RNA, 447 nt
Filed under: uncultured bacterium
Lineage: Bacteria
Description: bacterial SSU rRNA
Rfam family: Bacterial small subunit ribosomal RNA
Source: RNAcentral